This 2350-nucleotide ribosomal RNA is filed under the name Staphylococcus aureus. Its description in RNAcentral is "partial 23S ribosomal RNA". It matches the Rfam family "Bacterial large subunit ribosomal RNA", at positions 1 to 2349 of the family's 2925-position model. Lineage: Bacteria; Bacillati; Bacillota; Bacilli; Caryophanales; Staphylococcaceae. The record is from RNAcentral.
GAUUAAGUUAUUAAGGGCGCACGGUGGAUGCCUUGGCACUAGAAGCCGAUGAAGGACGUUACUAACGACGAUAUGCUUUGGGGAGCUGUAAGUAAGCUUUGAUCCAGAGAUUUCCGAAUGGGGAAACCCAGCAUGAGUUAUGUCAUGUUAUCGAUAUGUGAAUACAUAGCAUAUCAGAAGGCACACCCGGAGAACUGAAACAUCUUAGUACCCGGAGGAAGAGAAAGAAAAUUCGAUUCCCUUAGUAGCGGCGAGCGAAACGGGAAGAGCCCAAACCAACAAGCUUGCUUGUUGGGGUUGUAGGACACUCUAUACGGAGUUACAAAGGACGACAUUAGACGAAUCAUCUGGAAAGAUGAAUCAAAGAAGGUAAUAAUCCUGUAGUCGAAAAUGUUGUCUCUCUUGAGUGGAUCCUGAGUACGACGGAGCACGUGAAAUUCCGUCGGAAUCUGGGAGGACCAUCUCCUAAGGCUAAAUACUCUCUAGUGACCGAUAGUGAACCAGUACCGUGAGGGAAAGGUGAAAAGCACCCCGGAAGGGGAGUGAAAUAGAACCUGAAACCGUGUGCUUACAAGUAGUCAGAGCCCGUUAAUGGGUGAUGGCGUGCCUUUUGUAGAAUGAACCGGCGAGUUACGAUUUGAUGCAAGGUUAAGCAGUAAAUGUGGAGCCGUAGCGAAAGCGAGUCUGAAUAGGGCGUUUAGUAUUUGGUCGUAGACCCGAAACCAGGUGAUCUACCCUUGGUCAGGUUGAAGUUCAGGUAACACUGAAUGGAGGACCGAACCGACUUACGUUGAAAAGUGAGCGGAUGAACUGAGGGUAGCGGAGAAAUUCCAAUCGAACCUGGAGAUAGCUGGUUCUCUCCGAAAUAGCUUUAGGGCUAGCCUCAAGUGAUGAUUAUUGGAGGUAGAGCACUGUUUGGACGAGGGGCCCCUCUCGGGUUACCGAAUUCAGACAAACUCCGAAUGCCAAUUAAUUUAACUUGGGAGUCAGAACAUGGGUGAUAAGGUCCGUGUUCGAAAGGGAAACAGCCCAGACCACCAGCUAAGGUCCCAAAAUAUAUGUUAAGUGGAAAAGGAUGUGGCGUUGCCCAGACAACUAGGAUGUUGGCUUAGAAGCAGCCAUCAUUUAAAGAGUGCGUAAUAGCUCACUAGUCGAGUGACACUGCGCCGAAAAUGUACCGGGGCUAAACAUAUUACCGAAGCUGUGGAUUGUCCUUUGGACAAUGGUAGGAGAGCGUUCUAAGGGCGUUGAAGCAUGAUCGUAAGGACAUGUGGAGCGCUUAGAAGUGAGAAUGCCGGUGUGAGUAGCGAAAGACGGGUGAGAAUCCCGUCCACCGAUUGACUAAGGUUUCCAGAGGAAGGCUCGUCCGCUCUGGGUUAGUCGGGUCCUAAGCUGAGGCCGACAGGCGUAGGCGAUGGAUAACAGGUUGAUAUUCCUGUACCACCUAUAAUCGUUUUAAUCGAUGGGGGGACGCAGUAGGAUAGGCGAAGCGUGCGAUUGGAUUGCACGUCUAAGCAGUAAGGCUGAGUAUUAGGCAAAUCCGGUACUCGUUAAGGCUGAGCUGUGAUGGGGAGAAGACAUUGUGUCUUCGAGUCGUUGAUUUCACACUGCCGAGAAAAGCCUCUAGAUAGAAAAUAGGUGCCCGUACCGCAAACCGACACAGGUAGUCAAGAUGAGAAUUCUAAGGUGAGCGAGCGAACUCUCGUUAAGGAACUCGGCAAAAUGACCCCGUAACUUCGGGAGAAGGGGUGCUCUUUAGGGUUAACGCCCAGAAGAGCCGCAGUGAAUAGGCCCAAGCGACUGUUUAUCAAAAACACAGGUCUCUGCUAAACCGUAAGGUGAUGUAUAGGGGCUGACGCCUGCCCGGUGCUGGAAGGUUAAGAGGAGUGGUUAGCUUCUGCGAAGCUACGAAUCGAAGCCCCAGUAAACGGCGGCCGUAACUAUAACGGUCCUAAGGUAGCGAAAUUCCUUGUCGGGUAAGUUCCGACCCGCACGAAAGGCGUAACGAUUUGGGCACUGUCUCAACGAGAGACUCGGUGAAAUCAUAGUACCUGUGAAGAUGCAGGUUACCCGCGACAGGACGGAAAGACCCCGUGGAGCUUUACUGUAGCCUGAUAUUGAAAUUCGGCACAGCUUGUACAGGAUAGGUAGGAGCCUUUGAAACGUGAGCGCUAGCUUACGUGGAGGCGCUGGUGGGAUACUACCCUAGCUGUGUUGGCUUUCUAACCCGCACCACUUAUCGUGGUGGGAGACAGUGUCAGGCGGGCAGUUUGACUGGGGCGGUCGCCUCCUAAAAGGUAACGGAGGCGCUCAAAGGUUCCCUCAGAAUGGUUGGAAAUCAUUCAUAGAG